RNAcentral lists this long non-coding RNA (249 nucleotides) under Cyanistes caeruleus (blue tit). Its description in RNAcentral is "lncRNA (ENSCCEG00000009782.1)". The record is from RNAcentral. Lineage: Eukaryota; Metazoa; Chordata; Aves; Passeriformes; Paridae.
AAUAUUUUCUUUAAACAGUUCCAGAACAAGAUGGAGGCAAGACUUCUGUGAGACAAGUUGUGAAGUCUGAAUGUUCCAAGAUUUCUCUAAGUGAAUGGAAGAUGUUUCUCAGCACUGCUAUCACCUCCUGCUGUGCCACUGCUGAUGUCCCGCAGAAAAAGGAGGUUCCAGGAAUACUUACAACACAAAGAGAGCAAGAAAGAUGAAUCUUCUGACUCUGCUGGUUUGAAGGGCUUGGCUUCUUACAAG